This is a non-coding RNA of Carica papaya (papaya), 206 nucleotides long. NCBI's taxonomy places the organism in Eukaryota, Viridiplantae, Streptophyta, Magnoliopsida, Brassicales, Caricaceae. The record is from RefSeq and is a predicted model, not a curated record.
UUAAAAUCACAGAAUGGUUUUUAGGAAAAAGGCAAAACCACGUGAAUGUGGUACCGAAUAUAAACUAAAGAUCAUUUUGCGUCGUUUAAAUAAAAUUCACUUAUUGGCUUAAAGUUCCAGUACUCGGAUUGUUUUGACUGGUGAGAAGCUGUUUGGAUCCCGAGAUUCUCAAGAAAUAACAUUGUUGUUAACAGUAGCAGGUGAAA